GACGAUCACAAUGGAUCCCGACAGGUAUUUUCAGUUGAUUUCUGCUUUAUGUUACCUGAUGAUUGCUUAAUUUUCAUGAUACUGCAAUUUCUUCUCAUUCCGCUCCAUGAGUUAAUCAGUUUCAUAACGUUUGAAGUUUAUUGGGAGAUGAAACCGAUUCAAAUUGGUCUUUUCUUUGGGAUUACCAUGCUUGCUAAAAGCUUUAUCCCCGUUGGUACUAGAAAUUAUCUUCUAGUUUUUUGUCAAGUUGGAUCUUUUUGAAAGAAAAUUACGUUUUCUCUUGUACAGAGAAUCGGCCAUAGUUCCUGUGGUUUCUUCCCAUUGAUCGGUUUUAUGUCGUGUAUCUUCGAAAUUAAAGAAAAGAAAUGAGAUUUGACGUCGUUUGGAACAAGUUUGCAUUGUUCUCAUGCCAGGUUUAGCUCCUGGUUAAUCCCCCAUGGAGUCUGCUGAAUGUUCUUAUCAUACCUUUGCUUGAAUAUGUGCUCCGUAUCUUUCAUUGAACUGCAUUUUUCUCAGGAUCCAAAUUCGAAGCAUUUAGGAACCGGAUGCAUCAAUGGUGUUUGCCAAAUAUCUGUGUCUUGUUCAGAUAGAUAUCAGACUUGAAGAAGAGUUCGGAUGAGCAUUCAGGCGGUCUUAUAUCGUUCACACGCAUAUGAAAUCCAACGUUAGUAUUGUUCUGACAAAGGAGACGCAAAGCACGAGUAAAAAUUUAAAUCUGGAAAAAAAGAACGUAAUUGAAACAAACAAGAAUUUGUGUGUAUGUAUAUAUAUAAAAAGAGGGCAAAAAAAUCAAGCUAAUAAUCCUCAGAAACUGACGGAAGCCAAACUGUCUUG
Tarenaya hassleriana is the source of this 834-nucleotide long non-coding RNA. RefSeq lists it as uncharacterized. The record is from RefSeq and is a predicted model, not a curated record. NCBI's taxonomy places the organism in Eukaryota, Viridiplantae, Streptophyta, Magnoliopsida, Brassicales, Cleomaceae. The transcript has 3 exons.